This 422-nucleotide unclassified non-coding RNA is filed under the name soil metagenome. Its description in RNAcentral is "partial contains 5.8S ribosomal RNA, internal transcribed spacer 2, and large subunit ribosomal RNA". The stretch from base 1 to 120 matches the Rfam family "5.8S ribosomal RNA", at positions 35 to 154 of the family's 154-position model. The record is from RNAcentral.
GAUGAAGAACGUAGCGAAAUGCGAUAAGUAAUGUGAAUUGCAGAAUUCAGUGAAUCAUCGAAUCUUUGAACGCACCUUGCGCUCCCUGGUAUUCCGGGGAGCACGCCUGUUCGAGUGUCGCGAAAUUCUUCAAGCCUUGGAUGGAUUUUGUUUGUCUGUCCUUGGGCUUGGUUGUUGGGCUCUGCCGUGUCCUUCAUUGGGACGGCUGGCCUUAAAAGCAUUAGCCGAUCCUCGUGUGGUACUGGUUCUACUCAGCGUGAUAACAAUCUGAUCGUUGAGGACAUCUUCUGGAUGGCCAGUCAUCAUUUGGGUUGCUUCUAAACCGGUUUCGCAGAUUGCUCAAUCUGUGUGCCACUUUUCAGCUUUGACCUCGAAUCAGGUGGGACUACCCGCUGAACUUAAGCAUAUCAAUAAGCGGAGGA